Molecule: long non-coding RNA, 447 nt
Organism: Eptesicus fuscus (big brown bat)
Lineage: Eukaryota; Metazoa; Chordata; Mammalia; Chiroptera; Vespertilionidae
Exons: 3
Source: RefSeq, a predicted model, not a curated record
UCCCCAGCAGCAGUUGGGAGCUGCGGACGUUAAUCCCGCCCCCGGGGGUGGUUGCCGGUGAGGGCUUCCGCCUAAUUCCUGGCAGCACCUCACAGCACACACUCCAGGUCCAGGUCUGACACCUCAACUGACUCAGACUUGGGUGAAAUGUGGAGCCAGAGGGAGAUGCAAAGUGCAAUUCAAAAUCAAAAAUUAUAAGACUGCCAGGAUAUCACACAAAAUAGUAUAGAUCAGCGCUUCUAAUCUCACCCUAAAACAAUGUGAUGCAGGACGGAAAUAUCGAGACCUGUGUCUGAUAAAUUACAUGAAAGAAUGGCAACAAAGAAAUUAAUGAGCUUCAUAUAAAAGGAAGGACCCAGAAGAAAGACAAGCAUGAGAUGGAACUGCUCCCAGGAGUGGGGUUGGCAGGUGUCAGCAGCUGCUAAAGGUUGAAAGCUAUUACUGUGC